This 192-nucleotide non-coding RNA is filed under the name Desulfobacca acetoxidans. RNAcentral also lists the same sequence under 1 other name. Lineage: Bacteria; Pseudomonadati; Thermodesulfobacteriota; Desulfobaccia; Desulfobaccales; Desulfobaccaceae. The record is from RNAcentral.
AUGGCCCUAGUUGGUUCAGGUGCUCCAUUAUGGGGCUUAAUAGGGAAGCCGGUGGAAGUCCGGCGCGGUCCCGCCGCUGUAACCGGGGACAAAACCUUGCGAGGUGCCACUGUCUUGGGCUAAUAAGAUGGGAAGGCGCAGGGAAGAGGAUGAUCCGGGAGUCAGAAGACCUGCCUGCAAUCUUUGUGCUUU